GGGGUUGUAGUUCAAUGGUUAGAGUGUUGCCCUGUCAAGGCAAAGGUUGUGGGUUCAAGUCCCAUCAAUCCCG
RNAcentral lists this transfer RNA (73 nucleotides) under Euglena longa. RNAcentral's name for it is "transfer RNA-Asp (GUC)". It matches the Rfam family "tRNA". From Rfam's summary of the family: Transfer RNA (tRNA) molecules are approximately 80 nucleotides in length. Their secondary structure includes four short double-helical elements and three loops (D, anti-codon, and T loops). Lineage: Eukaryota; Euglenozoa; Euglenophyceae; Euglenales; Euglenaceae. The record is from RNAcentral.